RNAcentral lists this ribosomal RNA (495 nucleotides) under uncultured bacterium. RNAcentral describes it as "partial 16S ribosomal RNA". It matches the Rfam family "Bacterial small subunit ribosomal RNA", at positions 28 to 507 of the family's 1533-position model. The record is from RNAcentral.
GACGAACGCUGGCGGCGUGCCUAAUACAUGCAAGUAGAACGCUGAAGGAGGAGCUUGCUUCUCCGGAUGAGUUGCGAACGGGUGAGUAACGCGUAGGUAGCCUGCCUGGUAGCGGGGGAUAACUAUUGGAAACGAUAGCUAAUACCGCAUAAGAGUAGAUGUUGCAUGACAUUUGCUUAAAAGGUGCAAUUGCAUCACUACCAGAUGGACCUGCGUUGUAUUAGCUAGUUGGUGAGGUAACGGCUCACCAAGGCGACGAUACAUAGCCGACCUGAGAGGGUGAUCGGCCACACUGGGACUGAGACACGGCCCAGACUCCUACGGGAGGCAGCAGUAGGGAAUCUUCGGCAAUGGACGGAAGUCUGACCGAGCAACGCCGCGUGAGUGAAGAAGGGUGUCGGAUCGUAAAGCUCUGUUGUAAGAGAAGAACGAGUGUGAGAGUGGAAAGUUCACACUGUGACGGUAGCUUACCAGAAAGGGACGGCUAACUACGUG